CAAAUUAUUCUUAGGGAGGUCUCCAUUUACGCUGGGGAUUAUUUCGUGCAAUUCGAUAUAGUUUGA
Molecule: transfer RNA, 66 nt
Filed under: Ergaula nepalensis
Lineage: Eukaryota; Metazoa; Arthropoda; Insecta; Blattodea; Corydiidae
Description: tRNA-Val
Source: RNAcentral